RNAcentral lists this non-coding RNA (30 nucleotides) under Rattus norvegicus (Norway rat). The record is from RNAcentral. Lineage: Eukaryota; Metazoa; Chordata; Mammalia; Rodentia; Muridae.
UGAAAAUGGGUAUGAUAAAGGACUGAUAUC